This 497-nucleotide ribosomal RNA is filed under the name uncultured bacterium. RNAcentral's name for it is "partial 16S ribosomal RNA". It matches the Rfam family "Bacterial small subunit ribosomal RNA", at positions 28 to 507 of the family's 1533-position model. The record is from RNAcentral.
GAUGAACGCUGGCGGCGUGCCUAAUACAUGCAAGUCGAGCGAACGGACGAGAAGCUUGCUCCUCUGAUGUUAGCGGCGGACGGGUGAGUAACACGUGGAUAACCUACCUAUAAGACUGGGAUAACUUCGGGAAACCGGAGCUAAUACCGGAUAAUAUUUUGCACCUCAUGGUUCAAAAGUUAAAUUCGGUCUUGCUGUCAGUUAUAGAUUGAUCCGCGCUGCAUUAGUUAGUUGGUAAGGUAACGGCUUACCAAGGCUACGAUGCAUAGCCGACCUGAGAGGGUGAUCGGCCACACUGGAACUGAGACACGGUCCAGACUCCUACGGGAGGCAGCAGUAGGGAAUCUUACGCAAUGGGCGAAAGCCUGACGGAGCAACACCGCGUGAGUGAUGAAGGUCUUCGGAUCGUAAAACUCUGUUAUUAGGGAAGAACAUAUGUGUAAGUAACUGUGCACAUCUUGACGGUACCUAAUCAGAAAGCCACGGCUAACUCCGUG